AUAUCAGUCAUGCAUAGCAUAUCAAUAAGCGGAGGAAAAGAAACUAACAAGGAUUCCCUUAGUAACGGCGAGUGAAGCGGGAAGAGCUCAAAUUUGAAAUCUUCAAGGUUUUACCUUGACGGAUUGUAGUUUAAAGAAGUGUUUUCUGUUGAAGUUUUGGUAAAAGUUCUUUGGAAUAGGACAUCAUAGAGGGUGAGAAUCCCGUAUUUGACCAUUACUUUCAGCUUUGUGAUACACUUUCAAAGAGUCGGAUUGUUUGGGAAUGCAGUCCAAAAUGGGUGGUAAAUUUCAUCUAAAGCUAAAUAUUGGCGAGAGACCGAUAGCGAACAAGUACCGUGAGGGAAAGAUGAAAAGAACUUUGAAAAGAGAGUUAAACAGUACGUGAAAUUGUCAAAAGGGAAGCGUUUGACACCAGUGUUGUUUUCUCGAAAAUCAAUUAAAAAGAGUUGGAUUUUGUGUUGUAUUGACUUUAUCAGCUUUCUUCACUCUUUUCCAGCUUUUUUUAAUGCACUUUUCGUUUAACAAGUCAACAUCAGUUUCUUUUGUUGUAAAAAGGUCAUUGGAAGGUGGCUUUCUCUUCGGAGAAAGUGUUUAUAGCCUUUGACUCAUGCAAUCGGAGAGACUGAGGUCUGCAGCGUAGAUCCUUCGGGGUUAGAUACAUUUGUGCUAAGUUAUAGCUUUUCAUAGACAACUUGUUGACUAUGUUUAGUCUUGUAGCUUACUCGCUUAUGCUAUUUUACCUACGCUUAGGAUGUUGAACUCUAUCACACACAG
RNAcentral lists this ribosomal RNA (774 nucleotides) under uncultured Neocallimastigales. Its description in RNAcentral is "partial large subunit ribosomal RNA". It matches the Rfam family "Eukaryotic large subunit ribosomal RNA", at positions 22 to 621 of the family's 3401-position model. The record is from RNAcentral. Lineage: Eukaryota; Fungi; Neocallimastigomycota; Neocallimastigomycetes; Neocallimastigales.